UGCUCCUUUGCUGUUUAGUGUUGGCAGAUGCUGGACCCCUGCUUGGCGGUCCAGUCUUGAACUCCGGACUUCUCCCCUCCCCCGAUGGAAGUCCGGAGUUUUUUUAUGCC
This 110-nucleotide small RNA is filed under the name Pseudomonas oryzihabitans. RNAcentral describes it as "Pseudomon-1/ErsA RNA". It matches the Rfam family "Pseudomon-1/ErsA RNA". Rfam says of the family: Functions to regulate the AlgC enzyme. Based on this information, the new name ErsA for the RNA was adopted. Negatively regulates major porin oprD expression responsible for uptake of carbapenem antibiotics, by base pairing with oprD 5'UTR (leading to increased bacterial resistance to meropenem). The record is from RNAcentral. Lineage: Bacteria; Pseudomonadati; Pseudomonadota; Gammaproteobacteria; Pseudomonadales; Pseudomonadaceae.